GGUUAUGGCUCAGUGGUAGAGCGCUUGCCUAGCACAUGCGAGGCCCUGGGUUCAAUCCUCAGCACCA
RNAcentral lists this transfer RNA (67 nucleotides) under Marmota monax (woodchuck). Its description in RNAcentral is "tRNA.Ala". The record is from RNAcentral. Lineage: Eukaryota; Metazoa; Chordata; Mammalia; Rodentia; Sciuridae.